CUGGGAAACUGAUUCAUUUAGUUCAAUAAUAUGACUUGCUUAUAUUUAUGUCAAAUGUGUUAAGCUUCUACUUGCAUUUGGUUGCCAUGUGGCUACAUACUUUACAGGCUGGCAAAGCAAGCCUGCGUAUCUGACAUUAGGCUUUCAUUGCCAGGGUUACUAAUACAGACCAUUUUAAAGGUGGAAAAGUGGUUGUGACUACACCCUUGUUUUUGUGUGGUCAUCUUUCCCAUCAGUAGACUCGAGACACUGUAAAGCUAUGCAAACCUGGAUGUGAAAAUGUGAAGUAUGUGGAAAGAAUGGGGGCAGACUGUGGAGUAAACUUCAAUUGAUCCAAGAGUAACUGAAUGAUCUUUUGGCCUGCUGGUAAAAUAUCCUGGUUCAAUCAGUCAGGCAGAGGUUCUGUACGAGAAAUGAUGGGCUCUAUUAGUACAAGAUUAGGCUUAGACACAGAAUUCUGACCCUUUGCCACAGGUUUUCUGCUGCAGCAGCAUUUAGCUGAUCAGACAUGGCCACUCCAAGAACAUUUCAUUUCAUCCUAGAGUGAAGAACUCCAUGAAAGAGAGGUUUUUCUCUUUUCCUUUUUUGUGGUUUUUUUUGUUUUUUGGAGAGUUCAGUGCACUUUGGAAAGCUUCAUGAGAAUACUAGGGAAAACUCUGACCACAUCUCAUCCGUUCCAUGGAUAGCCGGUCUGCCAUCAACCACGGAUAAAUUAUUAGAGUCUGGUUGAGAACAAAUGUGGCCAACACCUAAUUGGCUCCACCAACACUCUUUUUGUGUGUUAAUCCUUUUCUCCUGUCAGUCUGUAUUGUCCUUUCUUCGAAAAUCAACUUUGCUUUCUCCCCUGCACAUAAAAGACAAACGGAACAAUAUUCAUCAUUGUUUUGAAGUUGACCUUAGCAUGUGUUUUACACAUAACAGGUACUUGAAAGCAUUUUCCAUCUUUCAGUGAAUGCUCCCUUCAGUUCCUGUACAAAUUUUUCCAAUCACCUGAAAUGCAUUCCCGUGGAAUAUCAAGCAUUCAUGCCAAUUCUAUUUCUGUCCCAUGUGAUUUGGGCAAUCUACGAAUGCUGACGUGUGUGAAGCAAUAAGUGAGAUAGGAUAUGUUUACAUAGUUAUGCUAUGAGGUUAUUGAGGAACUGGGAGUGAAAAGUAAACGUCUCAUAUGUCAUUAAAAAAAC
Long non-coding RNA from Astatotilapia calliptera (eastern happy), 1181 nucleotides. The record is from Ensembl. Lineage: Eukaryota; Metazoa; Chordata; Actinopteri; Cichliformes; Cichlidae.